RNAcentral lists this ribosomal RNA (559 nucleotides) under uncultured archaeon. RNAcentral's name for it is "bacterial SSU rRNA". It matches the Rfam family "Bacterial small subunit ribosomal RNA", at positions 424 to 1003 of the family's 1533-position model. The record is from RNAcentral.
UGUAAGCUCUUUUGUAGGGGAAGAUAAUGACUGUACCCUAAGAAUAAGGUCCGGCUAACUUCGUGCCAGCAGCCGCGGUAAUACGAAGGGACCUAGCGUAGUUCGGAAUUACUGGGCGUAAAGCGCUCGUAGGCCGUUGAGUUAGUUAAUUGUGAAAUCCCAAAGCUUAACUUUGGAACUGCAAUUAAAACUGCUCGACUAGAGUUUGAUAGAGGAAAGCGGAAUACAUAGUGUAGAGGUGAAAUUCGUAGAUAUUAUGUAGAACACCAGUUGCGAAGGCGGCUUUCUGGGUCAACACUGACGCUGAGGCGCGAAAGUAUGGGUAGCAAAGAGGAUUAGAUACCCUCGUAGUCCAUACCAUAAACGAUGAUUGCUAGAUGUUGGAAAUUUAUUUUCAGUAUCGCAGCUAACGCAUUAAGCAAUCCGACUGGGGAGUACGACCGCAAGGUUAACACUCAAAUGAAUUGACGGGGACCCGCACAAGCGGUGGAACAAUGUGAGUUAAUUCGAAGAUACGCGCAGAAGCUUACCAAACCUUGACAUGUCUGUCGCGAGUUUA